GGAUACAUAGCUUAGUUGGUGAGAGCAUCCGGCUCAUAACCGGGCGGUCGCAGGUUCAAGUCCUGCUGUAUCCA
This 74-nucleotide transfer RNA is filed under the name Dorea phocaeensis. RNAcentral describes it as "tRNA-Met". It matches the Rfam family "tRNA". From Rfam's summary of the family: Transfer RNA (tRNA) molecules are approximately 80 nucleotides in length. Their secondary structure includes four short double-helical elements and three loops (D, anti-codon, and T loops). Lineage: Bacteria; Bacillati; Bacillota; Clostridia; Lachnospirales; Lachnospiraceae. The record is from RNAcentral. RNAcentral also lists the same sequence under 2 other names.